Molecule: long non-coding RNA, 913 nt
Organism: Triplophysa rosa
Lineage: Eukaryota; Metazoa; Chordata; Actinopteri; Cypriniformes; Nemacheilidae
Exons: 3
Source: RefSeq, a predicted model, not a curated record
GCUUAAGGAUUUAUAGCCUUAGUUGAAAGAGACCGAGGCAGACUUUGAGAUUCCGGUCACAGGUUUCCAGGCUACAGAUACCCUGCAACAUCCUACAGAAAAAAGAAAACUUUUGGACCCUUAAAUUUAAGGUCAUGAAGAUGCAUCUAUCUGCUGUAAUUCCUUUGCUGGUCUUGUGUGGCUUAUUUUCCACUGAUGCUGUACCAGAUGCUACCAAGCUGUAUAAGAGCUUCGUCAAUAAGCAUGUGAAUGCUGGCAUGAAUGCGAACAUGUGUAACGAUGUGAUGGAAAAAAGAAGCAAAUAUUUCGACAUUUAUCCCAAAACUGUAAACACUUUCAUAACAAAUCCUGGUAACCGUAUUAUACAUUUUUGUAAUAAUAGGCCCAAUGGACUCACUAGGAGUAGCUCUAAUGAUUACAAUACUGUCACAUGUAGAUGGAACGAUUCCACAAGAAACUACAUUGGUUAUGCAAAUAUAAACGUGUAUAUUGAAUUACAUUGUGUACAAGGCAUACCAGUACAUUUUUAACCAUUUUAAGGCUAAAACGUGCCUCAAGUACCUUCACAUAAUUUUGUUAUUUGAUUGUUCAUGUUCUUUCAUUUUUUACACUGGGGUGCUCCAGUAUUACAAAUUUCUUCGCAAUCACUAUAAUCAAAUGUAUGCAAAACUGGCAAUGAAUGUCUUUUUUUUCUUUUUAAAGCACACAUUUUACAUUAAGUUGGAUUUUGUGUAAGUGUGUGUAUUUUGUGCUUCAGUGAUUUAUGUUAGCAACUUUAGGGUUAGAGUAUGACAGUAUGUUAAAGCACAUUGUCAACACCUGUUGAGCUUUAUUUCAGGGUAUUAUGAAAAUCAAAAAGUUAUGGAACAUUGUCAGUCUGUGCUAAGACCCUCAAUAAACUUUCUCUACCACU